AGCAUGGCUUCCAUCACCUACCCCUCCUUCCUACUUUGAUAAAAUACCUAUGACUAAGAAUACAGGAGGGCAAGAGAGAAAAGGAAUGAACAAUUAAUCAUCAUCAUCAUCAUCAUCAUCAUCAUCAUCAUCAUCCUGUGGCCCUACUAAGGGCUGUUUUCUGGGUAAGACAAAUUCUGAGGCUCUGGGUUGAUGGAGGAGAUGGCUAAUAAGGACUUUCCACAUAUCCCAUGUGCUACAAGCCCCGAUGGCAAAAACAGGGGGAGGGGGAGGCGGGCGAGCCUGAUGGGGGAAGCGUCACAGAUCUGCAGCUGAGAGGAUGAGCGGAUUAGCCUGGCAGAGGAGGGAGGACGACGCUUUAGAAAGCCACCUCCAGGAAAGAGCUUGUCACGUUCUGGGGGCCACAGAGAGUUCCGUGCGACUUGGAGCACACAAUGGAGGGGAGGAUACACGAUGCAAGGUCAAACCUAACAGGAAGCAACUUGUCAUCCUCCACAUGCAUGUGUGUUCACGCGGCAGCCGAGGGAGGUGGGCGAAUAAGGAACAUUCGCUCCUUACCUGCCUCAUAGCUCAAACCAGCCUCAGAUCUGAUGCUUCUCCAACACGGAAUAUAGUCCACAUUAAUCCCUGGGCUCUGCAGUGAAACCGGCAUGUGACACUCACCCUUCGCUGCUCUGUCUGGACAAAGAGGCGCCAAUUUCCUACAACACCCUACAUCUAGACGUCUUCCAGAACAUUCCAUCAAGGCUGACAGAACGCAGUCCUAAUGCACUGCCCGUUGGACACUCACAUCAGGCUCCUGGCCACUGUCAGCAGGAUGUGCAUCUGGCUGUCUUCCCGGAUAUGAGAUAGAUUUGUGAUGGUUUGCUGAUGGGUCUCUGACCAGGUCCCCCAUCCUGGAGCCAAGGCUGGUCAGGGUCAGGAAACAGAGCAAGACCAUCUGGUCUGGAGGCUGAGGCCUUUGGCCACUGUGCUGAGAGCUGCCGAGCCAGCUCUCCCCCGUGCAGCUACUGUCCCGACGUCUCUACACAUCUCUCGUGCAGGGUGGAGAUUGUGUGGUUUCCACCCAAGGAAUGGGGGCUGCUCUGUCCAAACUUCAAAAUCUGGGACAGUCGAAAGUGACCUUGAGCAUGGACAGGAAUCUGUCCUGUCCAGACAGUGUCCACUGUACUGACAGCCAGGUGACCUCCCCAGGGGCACUGUGUUGGGGACACUUCUCCUUCUGCCCAUUCCACGGUCCGUGUUAGGGUGUGGAGAGGUGUGCCAGGACAGACGUCUGACAGCCUCAGAAAAAGGUUCAUCCUGGAAGCCGCCUCCAUCCUCUUCCCAGUCUUGGUCCCCAAAGCAGAACCUACAGAAUUCUUCCUGCCCUGAUGUUAGGAUGAAAGCAAGUUUCAACCAGAGUGUUGAAGAAUAGGGGAGAAUGGGAGAAGGGUACUAAGGGAGGCUCCGGAGGGAAGGGUCCUGGGCUUUGGAGUCAAAAGACAUGGAUUCGAGUCCCGGCUCUGUCAUUUACUAACUGUGUGAACUCGACAAGCUACCGAACUCUCCUGAGUCUCUGUUUCCUUACCUGAAAAUGGGAUUAACAAGCUCUCUUUUACACAGCAACAUCCUCAGUAUCAAGUUAAACCACCUAACAAAGAACACUGCUUUGUGAGCUGAUUUUUUUUUAUGCCAAAGUAUAUUCAAUUUAACAUCUAUACUUACUUCUUGAAUGCAUUAUGGUCCCAGGCUAAUGCUUAGAUAAUCUCUUUCCUUAUCUUUUUCUGUACACUAUAAAGCUGGCCUCCCUGACCCCAUCCCUGCAUGUCCAAAUAUGACCCAUCAUUCAAAGCCCAGCUUAAAUCAAUUCCUCUGUGAUUUUCCCUCCCUCUCCACUCAGUGUCUCUCCCUCUCCCUCUCCCUCUCCCUCUC
RNAcentral lists this long non-coding RNA (1914 nucleotides) under Ictidomys tridecemlineatus (thirteen-lined ground squirrel). RNAcentral describes it as "lncRNA (ENSSTOG00000032466.1)". Lineage: Eukaryota; Metazoa; Chordata; Mammalia; Rodentia; Sciuridae. The record is from RNAcentral.